RNAcentral lists this unclassified non-coding RNA (210 nucleotides) under Hevea brasiliensis (rubber tree). Lineage: Eukaryota; Viridiplantae; Streptophyta; Magnoliopsida; Malpighiales; Euphorbiaceae. The record is from RNAcentral.
ACUGAAGACAUAUACAUUCUGGAUAAUCACUCAGAGAUAUAUGUAUGGGUCGGCCAACAAGUCGACCCAAAAAGUAGAUUGCAUGCUUUAACUAUUGGGGAGAAAUUUCUAGAACAUGAUUUUCUACUGGAAAAUCUAUCUUCUAAAGCUCCAGUGUACAUUAUCACGGAAGGAAGUGAACCCCCUUUCUUCACACGCUUCUUUAAAUGG